UAGUAUUAUGUAAAGUACUGACAGUUUGUGUGGAAAGUUCAGAUCUUCCCCAUUUGCUAUUGCUCAAAUACAUUUUAUGGACCAGUUAUUCUCGUCAGUUUCAUUCACCAUGGCGAUGCUCAGCGUAACAGUGCUCACCAUCUUGUGGCUUGGGCAGUCAGCCAGGGUGGUUUGGACUCAGGGCCCUCUUCCAGCCCCCUCGCUCUCUUUCUACCGCCCCCGUUUUGGCAGCAACAUCCAACUUUUCUCAGACGUGGAGCUGAUCUGCACACUUCCGACAAACGUUAGAUUGCCAAUAACUGUCUCUUUUAGCUGGGACAACCAAUCCCUCUCUGCAAUACAUUCCCUCACUAUACAAAACAGAGAUGAUGUCAGGUUCACCACGAAAGCCAUUGCAGCCAAUGAGGGGAUCUACGUAUGCUGGUACAAUGCCAGCAAUACUGGAGACGUGUCGGGGGAAAGCAAUCCAGUCAACCUUACCAUCUCCUCUCUUCCAGGGCCAAUUUUGGUGGUGCCCGCCUUCAUACCCAUCGGAGGAAACUACACCAUCAGCUGCCAAACUACCACCCGCUUCCCCAACAGAACCCUGGCCCUUUACUACAGACAGCUGCCUGUUACUGCGGGAAACGAGAUCUUUAAGUUUAUGGGGUCAGCGGCUCUUCUUGACAGCCACGAUUCCAUCACACUGACCAGGUGGCUAGUGGACAGCACAGAAAACUUCGAGGGUGUCUGCAGACUAGAGAUUGUGGACUUCAACCAGCAUAUUUACCUCUCUCCUCCUUCCAGUUCCCUCCCAGCUAUUGCAGAGGAGGCGCCUAUCCGUCUUGUGCCCCAGUAUCAGGGCUCCAAGUGCCUGGGACAACUGGAGGUGCAGGUCAGAGGCAGCUGGGGCCCUGUGUGCCAACAGAUAGAAAGCUGGAACCGGGCAAUGGGUAUCGUGGUUUGUCGAGAGCUGGGCUGUGGGACACUAUCUUCCGUCUCGACGAAGCAAGACUACAACCAUAAGGUUGACUUCUCCAUCGGUUCCAUAUUGUGCAGAGGAAGCGAGGGACGACUCAGGGAGUGUCAGAUUGAUGCGGUGCAGCCCCUUUGUAACUCAAGGAAGGGGGUGAAAAUGGUUUGCUCAGAUGCUCUGCCAACUACUAAGAUCUCAGUCACAGGCUACAGAGAGGUAUCGAGAGUCGACAUCAGUGAUGAGCACUCGUUGGAAUUGUCCUGCAUGUUCAAUGCCCCUUGGUUUGGUACGGAAAAGCUUUUCAUGGACUUGACGAGGGUCUCCAUAGAUUCGUACAUUAACACAAUCGACAACGUGCAAAUCGCCUCAGGAGAGGAGAUGAGGACCAUGCUUCAUGCGCCUGUCUUAUCAGGAGAGUAUGCCUGUAGAAUUAGAGGGUCUGAACAGACUGUGUCCUCAGUGAAGAUCUUCGUGAGCAAAUGGUACAAACCAAAUGUUGGACUCAUCAUCACGGCUCUCCUCACAACCGUAUCUGGAGCAGCCAUAUUACUGUAUAUGUGUGUCUAUCGUGUCCAGAAGGGGGAGACAGCAAAUGCUGUCACUUCUCAAGGGGUGUCCACAGCUGACCCAGAGGCCUCACCAGGAAUGGAUAGAGUGUCUAGAAACAUGCAGGAAGCCCCGCACGAAAAUCUCCAUACAAUCCCUAUGCAGUAA
This 1669-nucleotide long non-coding RNA is filed under the name Oncorhynchus kisutch (coho salmon). RNAcentral's name for it is "lncRNA (ENSOKIG00005018572.1)". Lineage: Eukaryota; Metazoa; Chordata; Actinopteri; Salmoniformes; Salmonidae. The record is from RNAcentral.